GUGGCAGUCUGUUCCCAGCCGUGACAAUCACCUGGUGAGGGACCGCACUGCCGUGGCUAAGAGCCCCGGCUUUGGUUUCAGAGAAACCUGGCUUGAAAUCCUGGCUCUGACACUCAUUAGCUGUGUGGCUUGGGAAGAUUCCUGAAUCCGAUCUUGAAGAACUCUGAAGUCUAAGCUUUAGUCCCCCUAAUGUGGAAAAUUAUGCAAUUUCCCCAUGUGGAGGAUCAAAACUGUAACGAUCCAUGGACAUCCUUCCUUCCCAGAGCCCUAGCCAUUCUUACACAAUAUGUGGUCACUGUCACACAAGGGAGUUGGAGGCACCAUGCGAAACAUCCCUCAAGCACAUGUGGGUUGAGAAAAAGAUCCCUUAGGGAGAGAGUCCCUCUGCUAAGGGCAGCUCAGCCUUUAGCUUGGUUCUGGUUCUGGUGUCUGGAAGGUUCACCACCUCUCUGGGGCAGAGGUUGCAUCCGGGGGGCAGCUGUCUUCCCAAGCAGCUGGUUCUAUGACCUCAAACAAAGGUCCUGUGUGUUCUUUCGCAGGCGCCGCUGUGGCUGUAGCUUGGCAGAGGAGCGAUGCCGAAUGAUACGCUCCGGGUUUAGAUAACUAUUCCCCAACAGUCUGCUUUCGCCCCCCCACCCCAUGUCGGCCCUUCUGUAAUUACACUCUGUGGACUCGCGCUUCUCCAGAGUUCUCCAGGGGAGCCUGCCGACACUCGGCUCGCCUCGUAAGGAUUCCCGCGAGGUGGAAGGCAGUUUGAGCUGAUGUGGACACGCGGAGUCCAUGGAAACGGAUAGCAAGGCGCGCACACAGUCCAUGGAAAUGGAUAACAAGGCGCGCACACACGGAGUCCAUGGAAACGGAUAGCAAGGCGCGCGCACACGGAGUCCAUGGAAACGGAUAACAAGGCGCGCACUAGGAGCAGGGGUGUGGUCGUGUUGCUUUUCACUAUCUCUUCCCAUUUGCUGGCAUUUGCUCAUGAGACUCUAUUGAAAAUGUGGCCGCAUGGUCCAUCCUGGCAGUGCAGGCCAAGCAAGCCAAACAAGGCUAAAAGGGAAUCUAUUUUUCCCUCCUGAGAGACGCUAGACAGGCUUCCGUGUUUAGCCCAUGGUGACAUGUCUUAAAUAUUUUACAUUGCCUAGCUU
Mesocricetus auratus (golden hamster) is the source of this 1142-nucleotide long non-coding RNA. RefSeq lists it as uncharacterized. The transcript has 2 exons. The record is from RefSeq and is a predicted model, not a curated record. NCBI's taxonomy places the organism in Eukaryota, Metazoa, Chordata, Mammalia, Rodentia, Cricetidae.